GAUGUAAAAAAAAAUCUAGUUUUGACAAAUGUAUUGGAAAUAGGUCUUGGCUUGCCACUGCACUUCUUUAGAGAUUGAACAACUGAUCAUGGGAUAUGAUGUAACAAGACCUGAAAUAUCCAUUAUGAAUUGCAUGUUAUGAGAUCUACUGGAAAAUAGCAUGGUAUACACAGUUGCUGUAGACAAGUAAGGAACACUGGUCUAUAGGCCAUCAAGCUGAAGCACGUGCUAUGGGCACAAAAAGGUUGCAUGUAGAGGUGACUCAGACCUCCAUGGCACCUACCUCCAUGCAUUGCCACCUUUCAACCCACAACUGAGGCCCUAUUGGUGUUUCUUAUUAACAGAUGGUAAGGCUCCAGCAGAAAGACAUUGGCAAGUGUUAGAGGAAAAGAGGAAAGUUUAUCCAAAAGUUUUAUGGAAAUCCCCAGAAGAAGGACAAUGGAAAGAUCCAGUGGAUUUACUGAUGAGAAGACAAGGUUAUACUCGUGUUUUUACAGGAGAUGGACAAACCGUGUGGAUGCCCUCAAGGUGCAUGAGACCAUGGAAUGGGAGACUGGAGGAACCC
Molecule: long non-coding RNA, 565 nt
Organism: Homo sapiens (human)
Lineage: Eukaryota; Metazoa; Chordata; Mammalia; Primates; Hominidae
Source: Ensembl